Molecule: ribosomal RNA, 1423 nt
Filed under: uncultured organism
Description: 16S ribosomal RNA
Rfam family: Bacterial small subunit ribosomal RNA
Source: RNAcentral
ACGCUGGCGGCGUGCUUAACACAUGCAAGUCGAACGGAAAGGCCCUGCUUUUGUGGGGUGCUCGAGUGGCGAACGGGUGAGUAACACGUGAGUAACCUGCCCUUGACUUUGGGAUAACUUCAGGAAACUGGGGCUAAUACCGGAUAGGAGCUCCUGCUGCAUGGUGGGGGUUGGAAAGUUUCGGCGGUUGGGGAUGGACUCGCGGCUUAUCAGCUUGUUGGUGGGGUAGUGGCUUACCAAGGCUUUGACGGGUAGCCGGCCUGAGAGGGUGACCGGCCACAUUGGGACUGAGAUACGGCCCAGACUCCUACGGGAGGCAGCAGUGGGGAAUAUUGCACAAUGGGCGGAAGCCUGAUGCAGCAACGCCGCGUGCGGGAUGACGGCCUUCGGGUUGUAAACCGCUUUCGCCUGUGACGAAGCGUGAGUGACGGUAAUGGGUAAAGAAGCACCGGCUAACUACGUGCCAGCAGCCGCGGUGAUACGUAGGGUGCGAGCGUUGUCCGGAUUUAUUGGGCGUAAAGGGCUCGUAGGUGGUUGAUCGCGUCGGAAGUGCAAUCUUGGGGCUUUAACCCUGAGCGUGCUUUCGAUACGGGUUGACUUGAGGAAGGUAGGGGAGAAUGGAAUUCCGGGUGGAGCGGUGGAAUGCGCAGAUAUCAGGAGGAACACCAGUGGCGAAGGCGGUUCUCUGGGCCUUUCCUGACGCUGAGGAGCGAAAGCGUGGGGAGCGAACAGGCUUAGAUACCCUGGUAGUCCACGCUGUAAACGGUGGGUACUAGGUGUGGGGUCCAUUCCACGGGUUCCGUGCCGUAGCUAACGCUUUAAGUACCCCGCCUGGGGAGUACGGCCGCAAGGCUAAAACUCAAAGGAAUUGACGGGGCCCCGCACAAGCGGCGGAGCAUGCGGAUUAAUUCGAUGCAACGCGUAGAACCUUACCUGGGUUUGACAUGGAUCGGGAGUGCUCAGAGAUGGGUGUGCCUCUUUUGGGGUCGGUUCACAGGUGGUGCAUGGCUGUCGUCAGCUCGUGUCGUGAGAUGUUGGGUUAAGUCCCGCAACGAGCGCAACCCUUGUUCACUGUUGCCAGCACGUUAUGGGGGGGACUCAGUGGAGACCGCCGGGGUCAACUCGGAGGAAGGUGGGGAUGACGUCAAGUCAUCAUGCCCCUUAUGUCCAGGGCUUCACGCAUGCUACAAUGGCUGGUACAGAGAGUGGCGAGCCUGUGAGGGUGAGCGAAUCUCGGAAAGCCGGUCUCAGUUCGGAUUGGGGUCUGCAACUCGACCUCAUGAAGUCGGAGUCGCUAGUAAUCGCAGAUCAGCAACGCUGCGGUGAAUACGUUCCCGGGGCUUGUACACACCGCCCGUCAAGUCAUGAAAGUUGGUAACACCCGAAGCCGAAGGCCUAACCGUUGUGGGGGAGCCGUCGAAGG